Molecule: signal recognition particle RNA, 292 nt
Filed under: Saimiri boliviensis boliviensis (Bolivian squirrel monkey)
Lineage: Eukaryota; Metazoa; Chordata; Mammalia; Primates; Cebidae
Description: Metazoan signal recognition particle RNA (ENSSBOG00000002159.1)
Rfam family: Metazoan signal recognition particle RNA
About the family: The signal recognition particle (SRP) is a universally conserved ribonucleoprotein.
Source: RNAcentral
GCUAGGCGUUGUGGUGCAUGCCUGUAGUCCCAGCUACCUGGGAGGCUGAGGUGGGAGGAUCACUUGAGCCCAGGAGUUCUGGACUGUAGUGUGCUAUGCCAGUCGGGUGUCCUCACUAAGUUUGGCAUCCAUAUGGUGACCUCCUGGGAGUGAAGGACCACCAGGUUGCCUAAAGAAGUGGCCCAGUCCAUAAGCAGAACAGGUCAAAACUGCCUUACUAAUCAGUAGUGGGAUCGUGCCUGUGAAUAGCCACUACACUCCAGCCUGGGCAACAUAGUGAGACCCCGUCUCU